Molecule: ribosomal RNA, 253 nt
Filed under: uncultured bacterium
Lineage: Bacteria
Description: partial 16S ribosomal RNA
Rfam family: Bacterial small subunit ribosomal RNA
Source: RNAcentral
CACGUAGGAGGCGAGCGUUGUCCGGAAUCAUUGGGCGUAAAGAGCGCGCAGGCGGCUUGGCAAGUCGGGUGUGAAAUCCCGGGGCUCGACCCCGUGACUGCAUCCGAUACUGUCAGGCUAGAGGUAGGUAGGGGAGAUCGGAAUUCCUGGUGUAGCGGUGAAAUGCGCAGAUAUCAGGAGGAACACCGGUGGCGAAGGCGGAUCUCUGGGCCUUACCUGACGCUCAGGCGCGAAAGCGUGGGGAGCAAACAGG